CGUCUUCCUCGCCCACCUCCCGACUGCGCCCACGCCCAUCAUCUCGGCCACCUCCCGGAGCCCCCGUCCCCACAGCCGCGCCGGCCCCCGUCUUACCACGCGUCGUCCCUCCAUCUCCCCUGUGCGCAACCAAACUGGUGCCGCACACAGCUGCCGCACGUCCUUCCGGCCCGGCUGCUCCACCCCCCUCCAGCUAGCUACUCCAACCAUGGCGCGGUGGCCAGAUCCAAUCUAUAUGGCGUGAUGGCAACCAAAUCCAUGACGGGAAAGAGACCCAGUGGUUCCCACCGUCUCAAGCAGGUAUGUGUCCUCCCCUCAUCCCCUCUCGCGAGCACCUCGAUGUUGUCUCACGGGUCCAGCCCCUUCGCAGCCGCCGGCCACCUGCAGCAGCCCCAGGGUUGACGGCGUCUCCCAGGCUGCCGCACAGUCCUGCUCUGGCGGCCUCGACCUGCAGCUCUGGCACAUGGUACAGGACGCGUCGCUGCUAUUCCCGUGAGGAUCCACUGAGUUGACGAUGUUGAAUCAGCUGUAGCUUCCAGACCAAUCAUGUAGUUAUGGAGGACGCCCCCUUCCAUUGUGGAGAUGGUUUCACCUAUGCUACAAGGGAUUUCAUUUCUCGUUGAAAAAUUCUGUUAGUCCUUCCUGAUUUGCACGUGGUAAUACAACUGCUGAACAUCAGUUCCCUCUCAUCAUCCAUUGUGAAGGUUUAAGGACAUACAUAGGACAUGACAGUUCUCUAAUGAGUAGCUAACUGAUCGCACUUUUUUUCUCAAUGCUCUUUUUUCCAGUUAGUAACAUACUGUCAGCGAUCAUUUGGUGUUGAUAUUUCAACCUCUCCCUUAAUUUAUCCCUUGAUUCUCUCUUCCAGUGUAUGAUCUUUGGUGAGUCCUACUGGAUGGAAGAAGCUGCAAUAAUGUGUGAGUAAUGGAUGUUGGUUGCCUUUCUGAGAAACCAUAGAAGCUCUCAGGUAAAAAAUACACGCAAGAUGAUUAUUUUGAAGUACUGAUGCACCUUGCAAUACAUGUAUCUGUUUUGUAUUCAUCCACUAUGGAUUAUGACUAUUUAUUUGUUGUUCCCCUUUAUAUAUAGAAGUGUGUUUUCCGAGUCGGGUUUUCUGACAACUAUAGCCUGUGGGACAUGAUAAGAAUAUUUUCUCUACAUUUAUAAAGGACCAAAAUGUCGAUUGAUUAUAUGUUUUUAGAUUAUUUAUGUUUCUCUUCAAUACUACAUGUACUAUCUCUGCUGACUGACAUUUUUCUUUUGCCAUCAAUAGUAGCACUGAAAAUCAAUGAAAUUCAUCUGCUUGCAUGUUCAGUUAGCUUGGCUUGAUUCCUGUUUGCAGAAUCUAACUUUCCCUUUCCAUCGAGGGUUUCCUCUGCUCUAUAAUUUUCUUCUAUUUCCUCAUCCAAAUUGUGUUUAAAUGAUAGGCAACAUUGUGAAUUAUGACCAACUAGCUAUGGUUUAGUACGGUAUGGCUUUGUUAUGGCUCAUUUCAUUGACCAGUGUAUGGUUGGUUGUUACCAUCUUAAACCCAUAUUUUGAGACCACGGAGAAAAGAAGGGCAACAAAGCUUUAGUUUUUGGGAUAUUAUUAUCAUAUAGUGAGCAUGCUAAGCCACAACUAAGUCUUCUUGCAUGUUGUCGUAAUGUGUAAUUGGAUGUUAAGCUAAUAACUUGAUAGAUGAAAUUUAGUCGAUCUUGCUGUAUAAAUUCUAGCAUGGUGCAGACUGAUAGCUGAAAUUUUAGUCUAUGUUGCACUAUAAAUUCUGGCAAUGCAGUUGAUCUUGCCGUAUAAUUUCUGGCAUAGUGCAGACCAUACAACACCACGACGAUGGUCGAUGGACACCAUUAUGUAAAAAAAAUCUCAACAGUGCUAUCUUGCAUUUGUUGCAUCUCUGCAUUAGGUAAACAUCCUUUUUUAUUCUUACUUGCCUUACUUGAUAUGAGCAGCAGCAGAUCGUUGUCCACAUGCUAAUUGCCAAACCGUGUGCUGCUACAAGUCGUGGGCCUUUUAUGAGCGGCAACAGAACAACGUCAUCUAAGCAUGGAUCAAAAUGGACACUCCAAGGCUACAAGGACAAAUGCAAUCCCGCACAUACAUCUCCGAUGACAAUCUGGUCCCAACAUAGGCAUCGACUGAAGAGAAGGUAGCUCAGACCACACUAUCCUAACUUUGUGAUCAUCACCGCAUAGUCAUCCAAUACCACAACUAUGAGGCGCUCAACACAAUAACCCACACCUGCUCCACAGCUUGAGACUGGGCAAGGACGUAAUAUUGGAAACUCAAUAUGUCUCAGUAGCAAUCUCUCUCUCUCUCUCUCUCUCUCUCUCUCUCUCUCUCUCUCUCUCUCUCUCUCCCUCUCUCUCCCUCUCUCCCUCCCUCCCUCCCUCCCUCCCUCAGUAGAGAGGUUUUUUGUGGUUAGGAUGUACUGCUAUAUAUCUUGGUCGUUUUAUUUAGCAUAAUUGAGAAACGAUAGAAGGGUAGAAUGGACUGUUUGACAUAGGUAUGACUAUAGCAGAUCAAUAAAUGGGCAUUUUAGUAUUGUCCCACUGAUAGAAGAGUUCACUAACCAACUGAAUAUACUGAGCGGUUGUGUGUGAUACCUAUUGUCGACAUGGUAACAUGAUAAUCAGAUAUUUACAUGCAACCACAAUGGUAUGAUGUUAAUUUGAUAACUUGUUAGUUUUUCUGGACAGUAAUGUGAUGUGUUCCCUUUGGUUUUGUUCGACCCUAACAUACACAAGCAUGUCUGUAGAAAUCUUUAUGCUAUCAAACUCUUAAGUUCUAUUUGUAAAUCUGCUAACUUAAAUUUUAUUCAAUUGAGUAAAUGGAGUUCUUACAGAUCGUAUCAUGUUUUGGUUUGUAGGUUGGAAACUUCAAGUCUUAAGUUUGUUAAUGAGAGCAAUGCAAAAUUCUAAAGGGUCUGGCGUGUAAGCAAAACAGGUGUAUGUCUAUCUGUCGGCUGGAAACCGUAUUUAGGUGCUGUAGAAGCUCUAAAUAAUUAGUUUUUUCUUGCUUUCAAGGUGCCAUUUUAUUUCAGGAUUCGCUGAAGUAAUCAAGUAAUGUGGAGCUGUUGCUCAUUCAAAUAUUAUAUUUUCUUAUUGACUAUCCAUCCCUAUUAGUGUUGUACUUGAAGGAAAUAUGCCGUAGAGGCAAUAAUAAAGUUGUUAUUUAUAUUUCCUUAUAUCAUGAUAAAUGUUUAUUAUUCAUGCUAGAAUUGUAUUAACCGGAAACUUAGUACAUGUGUGAAUACAUAGACAAAACAAAGUGUCCCUAGUAUGCCUCUACUUGACUAGCUCGUUAAUCAAAUAUGGUUAAGUUUCCUGAUCAUAGACAUGUGUUGUCAUUUGAUGAACGGGAUCACAUCAUUAGAGAAUGAUGUGAUGGACAAGACCGAUCCUUAGCUUAGCAUAAUGAUCGUUAAGUUUUAUUGCUA
This 3436-nucleotide long non-coding RNA is filed under the name Triticum aestivum (bread wheat). RNAcentral describes it as "long non-coding RNA (TAES_LNC020098)". Lineage: Eukaryota; Viridiplantae; Streptophyta; Magnoliopsida; Poales; Poaceae. The record is from RNAcentral.